UACGUAGGUGACAAGCGUUGUCCGGAUUUACUGGGCGUAAAGAGCGCGCAGGCGGUCGAUCAAGUCGAGUGUGAAAGCCCCCGGCUCAACUGGGGAGGGUCAUUCGAUACUGAUCGACUCGAAGGCAGGAGAGGGUAGUGGAAUUCCCGGUGUAGCGGUGAAAUGCGCAGAUAUCGGGAGGAACACCGGUGGCGAAGGCGGUUCUCUGGGCCUUACCUGACGCUGAGGAGCGAAAGCGUGGGGAGCGAACAGG
RNAcentral lists this ribosomal RNA (253 nucleotides) under uncultured bacterium. RNAcentral's name for it is "partial 16S ribosomal RNA". It matches the Rfam family "Bacterial small subunit ribosomal RNA", at positions 524 to 776 of the family's 1533-position model. The record is from RNAcentral.